This 256-nucleotide ribosomal RNA is filed under the name uncultured bacterium. Its description in RNAcentral is "partial 16S ribosomal RNA". It matches the Rfam family "Bacterial small subunit ribosomal RNA", at positions 524 to 776 of the family's 1533-position model. The record is from RNAcentral.
UACGUAGGGUGCAAGCGUUGUCCGGAAUUAUUGGGCGUAAAGAGCUCGUAGGCGGUUUGUCGCGUCGAAUGUGAAAACCCGGGGCUCAACCCCGGGCCUGCAUUCGAUACGGGCAGACUAGAGUUCGGUAGGGGAGUCUGGAAUUCCUGGUGUAGCGGUGAAAUGCGCAGGAUAUCAAGGAGGAACACCGGUGGCGAAGGCGGGUCUCUGGGCAAUUCCUGACGCUGAGGCGACGAAAGCGUGGGGAGCAAACGGG